This is a long non-coding RNA of Oncorhynchus keta (chum salmon), 743 nucleotides long. RefSeq lists it as uncharacterized. The record is from RefSeq and is a predicted model, not a curated record. NCBI's taxonomy places the organism in Eukaryota, Metazoa, Chordata, Actinopteri, Salmoniformes, Salmonidae. The transcript is spliced from 3 exons.
CAGGUGUGUCUGCAUGGAGAGAGUCUCCUCCAUGAAUGGGGAAGUGGUGUAUUUAUCCUGGGAGGCACCGGGCCCAGGUGUGUCUGCAUGGAGAGAGUCUAAACCAUGAAUGGGGAAGUGGUGUAUUUAUCCUGGGAGACACUGGGCCCAGGUGUGUCUGCAUGGAGAGAGUCUCCUCCAUGAAUGGGGAAGUGGUGUAUUUAUCCUGGGAGACACCUGGCCCAGGUGUGUCUGCAUGGAGAGAGUCUCCUCCAUGAAUGGGGAAGUGGUGUAUUUAUCCUGGGAGACACCUGGCCCAGGUGUGUCUGCAUGGAGAGAGUCUCCUCCAUGAAUGGGGAAGUGGUGUAUUUAUCCUGGGAGACACCGGGCCCAGGUGUGUCUGCAUGGAGAGAGUCUCCAUGAAUGGGGAAGUGGUGUAUUUAUCCUGGGAGACACCGGGCCCAGGUGUGUCUGCAUGGAGAGAGUCUCCUCCAUGAAUGGGGAAGUGGUGUAUUUAUCCUGGGAGACACCGGGCCCAGGUGUGUCUGCAUGGAGAGAGUCUCCUCCAUGAAUGGGGAAGUGGUGUAUUUAUCCUGGGAGACACCGGGCCCAGGUGUGUCUGCAUGGAGAGAGUCUCCUCCAUGAAUGGGGAAGUGGUGUAUUUAUCCUGGGAGACACCGGGCCCAGGUGUGUCAGCAUGGAGAGAGUCUCCUCCAUGAAUGGGGAAGUGGUGUAUUUAUCCUGGGAGACACCUGGCCCAGGUG